This 439-nucleotide ribosomal RNA is filed under the name uncultured bacterium. Its description in RNAcentral is "partial 16S ribosomal RNA". It matches the Rfam family "Bacterial small subunit ribosomal RNA", at positions 338 to 795 of the family's 1533-position model. The record is from RNAcentral.
CCUACGGGAGGCAGCAGUGGGGAAUAUUGCACAAUGGGGGAAACCCUGAUGCAGCGACGCCGCGUGAGUGAAGAAGUAUUUCGGUAUGUAAAGCUCUAUCAGCAGGGAAGAAAAUGACGGUACCUGACUAAGAAGCCCCGGCUAACUACGUGCCAGCAGCCGCGGUAAUACGUAGGGGGCAAGCGUUAUCCGGAUUUACUGGGUGUAAAGGGAGCGUAGACGGCCAGACAAGUCAGAAGUGAAAGCCCGGGGCUCAACCCUGGGACUGCUUUUGAAACUGCCGGGCUGGGGUGCAGGAGAGGUAGGCGGAAUUCCUAGUGUAGCGGUGAAAUGCGUAGAUAUAGGAGGAACACCAGUGGCGAAGGCGGCUUACUGGACUGUAACUGACGUUGAGGCUCGAAAGCGUGGGGAGCAAACAGGAUUAGAUACCCCAGUAGUC